RNAcentral lists this ribosomal RNA (254 nucleotides) under uncultured bacterium. Its description in RNAcentral is "partial 16S ribosomal RNA". It matches the Rfam family "Bacterial small subunit ribosomal RNA", at positions 524 to 776 of the family's 1533-position model. The record is from RNAcentral.
UACGUAGGGUGCAAGCGUUUGUCCGGAAUUAUUGGGCGUAAAGAGCUCGUAGGCGGUCUGUCGCGUCGAAUGUGAAAACCCGGGGCUCAACUCCGGGCUUGCAUUCGAUACGGGCAGGCUAGAGUUCGGUAGGGGAGUCUGGAAUUCCUGGUGUAGCGGUGAAAUGCGCAGAUAUCGGGAGGAACACCAGUGGCGAAGGCGGCUUACUGGACAGGUCCUGACACUGAGACGCGAAAGCGUGGGUAGCAAACAGG